This 448-nucleotide ribosomal RNA is filed under the name Kinyongia multituberculata. RNAcentral's name for it is "partial 16S ribosomal RNA". It matches the Rfam family "Bacterial large subunit ribosomal RNA", at positions 1923 to 2596 of the family's 2925-position model. Lineage: Eukaryota; Metazoa; Chordata; Lepidosauria; Squamata; Chamaeleonidae. The record is from RNAcentral.
CUAAACGGCCACGGCACUAAAACCGUGCAAAGGUAGCACAAUCACUUGCCCCUUAAAUAGGGGCCCGUAUGAAAGGCAACAUGAGAGAAGACCUGUCUCCUAGGGCCAGCCAAUGAAAUUGAACUACCAGUACAAAAGCUGGUAUUCACAAGCAAGACAAAAAGACCCUGUGGAACUUUAACAAAUUGUUUAAACAAAUUGAACAAUAGUUUCAGUUGGGAAAACUUUAGAAAAAAUAAACUUCUUAAAUACCACAGACCAACAAGCCUAUAGCCAUCAAACAUUGACCCAGUUUUACUGAUUAACGAAACAAGCUACCCCAGGGAUAACAGCGCUACCUUCUCAAAGAGUCCUUAUCAACAAGAAGAUCUACGACCUCGAUGUUGGAUCAGGGUAUCCAGACGGUGCAGCAGCUGUCAAAGGUUCGUUUGUUCAACGACUAAGACCC